Molecule: transfer RNA, 72 nt
Filed under: Nephrurus amyae
Lineage: Eukaryota; Metazoa; Chordata; Lepidosauria; Squamata; Carphodactylidae
Description: tRNA-Leu
Source: RNAcentral
ACUUUUAAAGGAAAACAGCACUCCACUAAUUUUAGGUAUUAGACCAUCUUGGUGCAACUCCAAGUAAAAGUA